Molecule: long non-coding RNA, 1112 nt
Filed under: Phasianus colchicus (ring-necked pheasant)
Lineage: Eukaryota; Metazoa; Chordata; Aves; Galliformes; Phasianidae
Description: lncRNA (ENSPCLG00000017222.1)
Source: RNAcentral
UAUCCAGAUUUUGGGAUGGGGGGGGGGACGACAGGUUUUGGGGUGCGCCCAAAUAUGGGGUCGGGGUGCCCAGGUCUGGAGGGGACCCAGAUUUGGGGUGGGGGUACUCAAAGUUGAGGGGGGGACUCAGGUUUUGGGGUGUGCCCAAAAAUGGGGUGGGGGUACCCAGAUUUGGGGGGAGGUACUCAGAGUUGGGGGGGGACCCAGAUUUGGGGUGGAGAUGCUGAGAGAUGGGGGGGGAGGGGACCCAGGUUUUGGGGUGCACACAGAUAUGGGGUCGGGGUGCCCAGAUCUGGAGGGGACCCAGAUUUGGGGUGGAGCUGCUGAGAGAUGGGGGGGGGACCCAGGUUGUGGGGUGCACGCAGGUGUAGGGGAUGUGCAGGUUUGGAGGAGAGCCGGGUUUUGGGGUGCGCCCAAGCAUGGGGUGGGGGGACCCAGUUUUUGGGGGGACCCAGAUUUGGGGUGGGGGGGGGAGGCGCCCGCUUUGGGGUCCCCUACCUGCGGUGGCGCAGAGCAGCACGAGGAGCAGCGCCCGCAGUGGGGUCGGGGCCAUGGCGGCUGUGUAGGGCCGCAGCUGGGAGCUCUUAUAGCCCCAGUGGGGUGGGGGGGGUUUGGGGCCGUGCCAGCACUGUGGGGACACGUGGCCCCAAUCGGGUCCGUGUCUCCAUCACCCCACAGCCCCGUGUCCCAUCAUCCCAUAACCCCACAACCCCACACCCCCUUUCCCCACGCCCCUACGUUGCCCCCCACGUCCCCAUACCCCCAUGUCCCCAAGCUUUCAUGUCCCCAUGUCCCCAAGCCCCCUGUCCCCCACAUCCCUUAUUCCCACACCCCAUAUCCCCGCGUCCCAUAUCCCAUAUCCCAGUAUCCCAUGUCCCCAGGCCCCCCACGUCCCCCCAUGUCCCCAUACCCCAUAUCCCAUAUCCCCAUUUCCCCAUAUCCCACAUCCCCAUGUUCCUCCAUGUCCCCAUGUCCCCCUCCCCCAUACCCCAAACCCCAUAUCCCAUAUCCCAUAUCCCCAUACCCCAUACCCCAUAUCCCACACCCCAUAUCCUAUAUCCCCUUUGUCCCCCCAUACCCCACACCUCACACCCCAUACCCCAUAUCCCUCU